This is a long non-coding RNA of Cyprinus carpio (common carp), 2036 nucleotides long. The record is from Ensembl. NCBI's taxonomy places the organism in Eukaryota, Metazoa, Chordata, Actinopteri, Cypriniformes, Cyprinidae.
AUGAGAAGGAUGAAGACCCAAACCGCUGUCCAUCUGAUGUGGCCACUGAUUUUAGUGCUACAGUUUGCUUGGCUUACAAAAGGCCUGAAUCACUUUAUAGUUCCUCAGAAUUUGACCUCGGAGACCGGAAAAACUGUCACCUUUGAAUGUGGUGUUGGUGGAUUGAAUGGGGAAAAAAUCCGGUUUUACAUUAUGGGUCCAAAGGUCAAUGAUUCCGUGUCUUGUCCAGGAGAAAAAACCAAGUACUUGCCUGCUCAGUCAAUGAAAGCCUACUGUUAUACAAAAUCUGGUGGAGAUGUAGCUGCUUGGGAAGUCGCAGGAACAUCAGAAGAUGACAAUGGCACUAUUUUUUUGUGCAAAGUCAAUACUGCAGAUGACAAAAUCGGAUACCUUUAUGUGUACGAGAAUGAUUCAUACUAUGCCAAGCUCAUUGGAUAUGUGAUUGGAGGAUUUUUAGCUGGUCUCAUUAUCAUCGUUGCGGCUUAUGUCCUGUUGAAAAGAUCAGAGAAAGUACAGCACUGCUUCAGUAAGUUUCUCAUUGUUCAUGUACUUAGCACACUAGAUUCUAUUCUGUUUUACACACUGGAAUAUAUCUAAUGUACAUGAAGAGAUACUGAGUUAUAGACAGAUAGUUUCUCAAGUUUGGUCUUGUUCUGCGUUUUUAGGGUCAGUGGGUGGAAUCCAAGAUGACGUGCAAUAGCCACAAUCUAAGCAAUACUGAAACCCCUCUCAUGCUCCUUACCAACAAAUGUGGAUUUGGAGGGCUAAUAAUAACAUAGCACAAACAUCGCAAUAUAAUAUAGGUUCUGCAGAUUUGAAAGAAAGGCCUGUGUUUCUCAGUUUUCAGUCUUGUCCAGUAGAGGGCGUGUUCACUUCUUUGUUCACAGCCAUGUUUUAGUUUCUCAUGUUCCUGGUUCAAAAUCCUUUUUUUUUUUUUUUGGUCACAGAGGAACAUUUUAAGUAACUAUAAUAUCUAAAUUUUAAUUUCGAACCCUAAUUUACACUAAAAUGUGAGGGAUUUUGAUACAGGAGUAUGUUCUAUUAGUUAAUCCACUUUAAGCAUCAAGCAACACCACCUUUCAAGAAUGUUUAUCUUACAAAUACACACAUUUGAUUAUCUAAUUGUGGAUCUGCUGUUUAAUGAAUAGUCAAGUACUCAGAAUGAAUGUGUCAUUGUCAUGCUGUUUACCAUAUUCAUUUAUUUUAGUUGUUUUUUAUUUUCAAUGUAAUGUAAAUUACUCACUGCUUUGAUUUCAUUUCAUUUUAUACUGCUUUAAGAGGCUAAAUGACAAAAUUCACAGCACACAUAUGAGGCUUUUGGGUUGCGUUGAGUAGAUCAAUAGGAGAUGGGUCAAUAUUGACACAGGUGGUUCUGUGCACCCUGGAACAGCCGUGUUUCUAUUCUACUACACUUUUCAUUGUAGAUAUCAGUCCGUAAGCAUUUAGUUUUAAAGUUUUAAAGGCUCAGAAACUGCGUAUUUAAUCCUGUUUUGAACCUUUGACUAUUUGCAUAUGUGCUCUGGCAUUUGUAAACACUCAUGAAGUCACAUUACAACAUACAAGCACAACAAUCAUCUGCUUUAGCUCACAGUCACAUUUAAUAUUAAUGUUGUAUGAUAUUUUCAGAAUGUGCUUGUAUCAAUUCAAAAUGUAAACAUUAUUGUAAACAUCUGAAAUGUAGACGAGAGCCUUUCAAAUCAGAUUAGACAGUCAAAUCUAAAACAUUUAUAUUGUUAUUUUUGGUUACAUUUUGACUUUAUUUUAAUGCUUUCCGUUCUCUUGAAAGACUCCAAUGCUGUUUGUGUAAAAAUAAUUGAAUUACCCUAUUAUUUUCUUUUCAAAUUCUUGUAAUAUGUUCCACUGACCUUAUCAAAACCCAGUAGACAGAUAUUAUUGAGGCUUCUACUCUCUGUUUUAUCAGCAUGUACUUUUCAUAAAGGUGAUUAUCUUGUAUACAGACUUUUGUUUGGGGUCAGUUUGACCAAUGUAUAAAUACAUUUUAGAAUAAUAUAAUAAAACGCAUAAGAAUCAGGACA